Felis catus (domestic cat) is the source of this 85-nucleotide non-coding RNA. NCBI's taxonomy places the organism in Eukaryota, Metazoa, Chordata, Mammalia, Carnivora, Felidae. The record is from Rfam.
GCCUGGGUGGCUCAGUUGGUUGAGUGACUGACUUCAGCUCAGGUCAUGAUCUCACGGUUCGUGAGUUCGAGCCCCACAUCAGGCU